AGUGAACGCUGGCGGUAGGCCUAACACAUGCAAGUCGAACGGCAGCACAGUAAGAGCUUGCUCUUACGGGUGGCGAGUGGCGGACGGGUGAGGAAUACAUCGGAAUCUACUUUUUCGUGGGGGAUAACGUAGGGAAACUUACGCUAAUACCGCAUCCGACCUACGGGUGAAAGCAGGGGAUCUUCGGACCUUGCGCGAUUGAAUGAGCCGAUGUCGGAUUAGCUAGUUGGCGGGGUAAAGGCCCACCAAGGCGACGAUACGUAGCUGGUCUGAGAGGAUGAUCGGCCACACUGGAACUGAGACACGGUCCAGACUCCUACGGGAGGCAGCAGUGGGGAAUAUUGGACAAUGGGCGCAAGCCUGAUCCAGCCAGACCGCGUGGGUGAAGAAGGCCUUCGGGUUGUAAAGCCCUUUUGUUGGGAAAGAAAAGCAGCAGGUUAAUACCCCGCUGUUCUGACGGUACCCAAAGAAUAAGCACCGGCUAACUUCGUG
Molecule: ribosomal RNA, 492 nt
Filed under: uncultured bacterium
Lineage: Bacteria
Description: partial 16S ribosomal RNA
Rfam family: Bacterial small subunit ribosomal RNA
Source: RNAcentral